CAAUAUUGCAUUGAAACACUGGUUCUCCUAUGAUCACCGAAGUUAAGCAACUUCAAGCCUGGUCAGUACAUAAAUGGAUGACUGCUUGGGAAUACCAGGUGUU
Molecule: non-coding RNA, 103 nt
Organism: Acanthosepion pharaonis
Lineage: Eukaryota; Metazoa; Mollusca; Cephalopoda; Sepiida; Sepiidae
Source: the annotation of a GenBank genome assembly